This 245-nucleotide ribosomal RNA is filed under the name uncultured archaeon. Its description in RNAcentral is "partial 16S ribosomal RNA". It matches the Rfam family "Archaeal small subunit ribosomal RNA", at positions 474 to 717 of the family's 1478-position model. The record is from RNAcentral.
UCCCGGCAGUCCAAGUUGCAGCCAACUUUAUUGGGUCUAAAACAUCCGUAGCUUGUUUGAUAAGUUCUUUGUGAAAUCUUAUAUCUCAAGUAUAAGGCGGGCAAAGAAUACUAUCAAGCUAGGGACCGGUAGAUGUAAAGAGUACGUUCGAGGUAGUGGUAAAAUAUGUUAAUCUCAGAUGGACUAACGAUGAGCGAAGGCACUUUACAAGGACGGAUCCGACAGUGAGGGAUGAAGGCUAGGGG